UUUAAUCCAAAAAAUAAAAAUGUCCCAUUUUCUAUUUUAAAAAUUGCUUUAUCACAAAUAUUACUUAUUGAAACAUUUCUUUUAUUCUCAGAAUCAGUGCUUAUUUUCAGAAUAGUAUAUCAUAAAAACAAACUUUAGCCUCCUAUCUUGAAAAAAAAAAGUAACAUAGGGAAUAAAUAAAGUCUUCCCUGUUGUGUAAUUAGUAUUUCUUCUCUUCAAUUGAUGUGACUUAGAAAUGCAUAUCUGCAUCUUUCACUUUUUUUCUGCUUUCCAGGCUUGAAUUUUCAAUUGUCUAGUGCAAUUUGUUUUCCAUCCCUGCAAACCUUACCAAAGAUAAUCUCGGGAAAUCAAUUUUAAAUCCCUCAACAUUCUGUAUAUUGUUCUUUUUGAUCGUACUUCAAGUCCAAGCAUACUGUCAAUUCACCUUCUAGACCUCAGCAUUAGCUGUAGCCUUUCACUUCACACGACAGUGUACAGUAUUCACCAGUGUGAUCAAUAUAACCUUGUGCAUCUUUUUGAAUGGCAUUAAAGCUCCAUCUCACUGUUAGUAGCAACUGAAAAACCAGUGUCACUGAACAAUAAUUUAUUAAGGUUACUCCUGUAGGUCUUUGUGUCUUCAUGCUUAGCUAGCUAAUUUUAAGUUGGUUUAAUGAAUGGGUGGAUAUAGAUACAGCUGAUAGGAUCAUAGACAGGAGGAAAACAGUCUGUGUUUCUACUGUGUUUUAUUUCUAACCAUACAGUGUUCGGUUCAAUUUUGAAUCUUCCCACUUCAUUGAGAACAACAAUAUGAGAAAAUGACAGUUUUUUCAGUAAAGACCUUCUUUCAAACCUCAAACCUUAUAAUAGAAGAAGCAUAGCUCCUGUAGUGGAAUUUUAUUAGAACCAAGCAAAGAAAGUGUCAGUAAUCAUUAACGGCAGAUACAUUAAGCACAAAAUCAGAAUAAAAACCCAUAACUUAACUAUCUACAUAAUAUAACAUUAUGAAGAUGGAAUCUGAAAGUAUGCAAAUAACAUUAAUUUUGAUGAAAGUUAAAUGAAAUUAAUGUCUUCCUGCAAUAAGCUCGGUUUACCAGUUUCUUUAACCUUGAAAUCUGACUUUGCCAGUAAAAUUACAGAACGGAUAUUUUUCAAAAAAUAAAGAGCCUAUAGACCCAUAUAUAGUAUAGCGAUUAAGAUGCCCCUUUAGAUGCUUACAUCACAUAUCAGAGUGCCUGGGUUCCAGUCUCAGCUCUACUUACUUCUGACUCCAGCAUCCUGCUGUUGUGUGUCCUGGUUAGCAACAGCAGGUGAUAGGUAGAGAAGCUGGGUCCUUGCACACACAUAGAAGAACUCAGGUUGAGUUUCUAGCUCUUGGCUUUGGCCUUACCCAGCCCUCGAUGCAGCAGACAUUGACAAGUGAAGAAGUAGAUGGGAAAUUGUCUCUCUCUCUCUCUCUCUUUCUCUCUGCCUUUCAAAUAAGUAAAAGAUAAACAGUUUUUAAUGGAAAGAAUUGUAUCUACAACUGCAAAUUAUCAAUGAAAGUAUAUUGAAUAUACAAUUAGAAAUUAGUAAAUAUUAGAAAAUAUAUAUGGAAGUAUAAGAAAUUUCAACUUUUCCCAUCCCUUAAAAGGCUAACAUAUCAAACAAGUUUUCUGUUAGUGCAAGGGUAACAUGAAUAAUUAAAAGUCAUUUAUUAAUUCUUGGUAGGAUUUUUUGGUAAAAUUUUUAGAAAUUAACAUGAUGAAUAAUCCAUAUGAUUGAAUGAUAAAUAUUUUUUAUUUUCAUUGACACAGGGGUAGAUUUAUCAUAUAGAUAAUGUCAUUUAAUUAAUGAAAUUUUUAUUUAGAACAAUAAUUGAAUGAUAUUGCUUCGUAAAACUUGUUUUCCACUUAUUCAUUUAUUGGGCCAGAUUUUCUCUGUGCUAACAUAUAAGUUUGAAACCUAGAAAAAUAAUUUUUACUGAAAUUAUGUCACUAUUGCUUGAAAAAAGGAUACAGAAACAUUAAUAGCAAAAGCUUAUUCAUUCAUUAAUUAUACAUGUUCUAAAAAGUAUCUAGGAAUGUAUGAGAUACAUUUAAUUGUAUUUAAUUUUAGAUUAUUAAAAUUGUUAUUUAUAUCAGAAGAAUUUUUUAAAUGAAAAGAUUUCCAUAUUCAGAAAAUUAUGCAAAUAUACUAUAAAUAUACUUUAAUAUUUCACAUUAUGUUUCGCAGGAGAUAUGUUUACAUACAUGCAUUUGAAGGAAUUACUUUCCUAUUAUAGAAGCCACUGGGUACCUGACAAGGGACAUUGCUGGGGAAUCUGAGCUUAACUGAGGACUGUGCGGAUCCUUUGUGUGGUCCUUGUGGCAGAACAGACGAAUAAUAUGCACACUGGGGCUGGGACCUAGGCACUGAGGAGAGGAGUUCAACUGAGUCUAAGCCAAUAGACAAGAGGAAACCUCUUAUUUUUUUAUUUAUUAAAGAGAGGUUUACCACAGCAAAUCUGGGUUUGUCAAAUCAGAAACACCCUUCACUUUGGAGCACUAAACAGAGCUCCUUGGCCACACCUACCAUGUGCCAAACCUCUAGGUAGUCCCUGAGAGCAGACAUGCCACUAAUCCACUCAGACACAGUAAAAGGUAAAAGCUGCCACAGCAG
Molecule: non-coding RNA, 2616 nt
Organism: Oryctolagus cuniculus (rabbit)
Lineage: Eukaryota; Metazoa; Chordata; Mammalia; Lagomorpha; Leporidae
Source: RefSeq, a predicted model, not a curated record